Non-coding RNA from Equus caballus (horse), 1360 nucleotides. The record is from RefSeq and is a predicted model, not a curated record. NCBI's taxonomy places the organism in Eukaryota, Metazoa, Chordata, Mammalia, Perissodactyla, Equidae.
UCUGCCUCUUCUCUGGCUGUAUGUUCUUUCCCAGGUUGUUGACUUCUGUUGGAGGCCACCAUCCCCUCACCUCUGCGUUUGGGCAUUGCUUGUCUAAGGGCUCUGAGAUAUUUGGAAUGUUCUGGCAAUCCUGCCCUUGAGGAGCUCUGCCCAACGGGCCCACAUAAUCCCUGGGGGUAACUGGGAAGUUCCCUUCUCUGCCAUGGUUAUCACACACACUUCCUGCUUUGAAAGCCUCCUCGAGUUAGGAAAAUUCUCUAUUCCUACCUCUACCCCAAAAAGCUUGGCACUUCAUUCCAUGGCUCUAGAAUGGACUGGGUUCCAAGCUCCUCAGAGAUACCGCUGUUGGUCCAGGGACAAUAGGUCAGGGCUGUGGUUGCCAGCAUUGUCUCUGUCAGACGUGGCCUCCCCCAGUCCUGGUGCCACCACUGGUCUGGUUGGGACAAGGGGCUACAUCCUAUGAUUUCCUCGUGGGUCACGUGGCUGUAAUGGUGCCCCACACCUCACAGUGUUGUGCAGAUGAAGAUAACCCAACUGCUCACUUAGCAUCGGUUGUGCUUCCUGGCAUGAUGUACAUUGACAGAAUGAUAUUUUUUCUUUAAUUGUGUAACACAAUAUGCAGAAGGCUGCAUAAAACAUAAAAGUAUGGCUAUAAGUUAACAUAGCCCCCACCUAGAUCAAUACCUAGAACGUACGAGGCUUCCAGAAGCUUCCCAGAUGCCUCUUCCUUGUCACAUCUCCCUCCUUGGCCUUAGCAGUAACCUCAAUCUUAUCUUCGUGAUGUUUCAUUCUUUGUUCACGUAUUUUAUAAUUUUGUUUAUUACACACUCCUCACAGGUCUGGAUUUUAAUCUGUAAUCAUAUAGCAUAUAUUCUCUCAUGCCUGGCUUUGUUCACUAAGAAUUAUGGAUUUAACAAUCAUCAGUGAUUCUUCCAUUGUGGUUGCUAAUGCAAUAGACCACAAUUUAGUUAUCCAUUCUAUUGAUGGUGGACAUUUUGGUUGUUUACAGUCUGUGGAUCUUUCACACAACAAGGCUAUGGUCCUUCUUGUGCAGGUGUCCUGGGCAAGGUAGAUUACACAACAAAGAGUGGAAUUCUGGGGUCCUGUGUUAUGCCUACCCAAGACUUCUGAGGAAGAAAAGAAAAAAGAAAAGAAAAUGUAUAAAGCAAAGCAUGCAGAUUAUCCAAUUCAUAUGAAUGGAAUAAAACAAAACUGAAUGCAUAUCCAACUGGAAUGAACUGGGAUGGCUGGAUUCAGUUCAGCAGGGGGACCCAUGACUGCAUGAGGAGACCUGGCCCACACUUCCUUUUCUCCUGGGAGGUGUUUAUGCCUUGGACUCUCCAGAACUACAAGACAAGGG